RNAcentral lists this ribosomal RNA (441 nucleotides) under uncultured bacterium. RNAcentral describes it as "partial 16S ribosomal RNA". It matches the Rfam family "Bacterial small subunit ribosomal RNA", at positions 338 to 795 of the family's 1533-position model. The record is from RNAcentral.
CCUACGGGAGGCAGCAGUCGGGAAUAUUGCGCAAUGGAGGAAACUCUGACGCAGUGACGCCGCGUGCAGGAAGAAGGUUUUCGGAUUGUAAACUGCUUUAGUCAGUGAAGAAAAAUGACAGUACCUGUAGAAUAAGCUACGGCUAACUACGUGCCAGCAGCCGCGGUAAUACGUAGGGAGCAAGCGUUAUCCGGACUUAUUGGGUGUAAAGGGUGCGUAGACGGGGAAGCAAGUUAGUUGUGAAAUCCCCCGGCUUAACUGGGGGACUGCAACUAAAACUAGUUCCCUUGAGUGCUGGAGAGGAUAGUGGAAUUCCGAGUGUAGCGGUGAAAUGCGUAGAUAUUAGGAGGAACACCAGUGGCGAAGGCGACUUUCUGGGCAGUAACUGACGUUGAGGCACGAAAGUGUGGGGAGCAAACAGGAUUAGAUACCCGUGUAGUC